CCUAUCUCCUAUUUAUACCUCCUUAUUCACAGAUGUCACUGUUCCUUUCAGUUUCCAAAGAAAGUUAUUUGUUCACUUUGGCAAUUUAAAGAGCAAAGAAAGCAAACUAUGAAAUCUCUAUUGCAUCUUUCAACAAAUAAUUAUCCACAGCAGGCAUCUCUGUUAAUCCCACAGUCUCACAACUCUUCUCAAUACAAUGCUCCUGGCAGCCACUACUCAUGGAUUAGAAUUGGCACACUAGUUAAAACCUACUUACUAUUGUUGUUCUCGCUCUGUCACCAAGGCUGGAGUGCGUUUCUGUUUGGGGAUUUGUUUUUGAAGUUGGUGUUCAGCCUGCCCACUGUCUUUUUCACUUGAUAUUAUUUCCUGUUCUCAACGAGAUCUCUCUCUCUAUUCUUCCCAAUCUGUUGGUGCAGUACUUCUUAAAUUAAAAAUACUUGCAAUAUUAUAUCAGUUGUACUCAAAAUCUACAAAUAUUCAGGAAAGGCACACAUUCUACAUAUUAAUUUUCAUUCAUACCUUGUAACUGCAUAAAAACAUAUUCACACUUUAGAAACUACACAAAUAUUUUAUGUGCUAAAUUUAGAUCAUUUAUUCUACUUUCCUCUAAUGUAACUGGCAUCCCUGAUUUCAGGCAAAGCUACAUUCCUGCCCUUCUUUCCCUGAGGUAGUUCAAAUUUGGAUUUCCGCACAUGCAAACCAAAGAAUCCUGACUAAAUACGGACCUCAACGAAAAGCUGCAACAAAGUUGGGAUUGCAAUUUCGCUAAAUAACUUUCAUUUCACACCUUUUACAUUACUAUUCCACCUCUUCUCUCCUUCAUGAGGAAUUCACAAAUAUAACUGGUCUUGGUGGGG
Molecule: long non-coding RNA, 857 nt
Filed under: Pan troglodytes (chimpanzee)
Lineage: Eukaryota; Metazoa; Chordata; Mammalia; Primates; Hominidae
Description: long non-coding RNA NONPTRT001435
Source: RNAcentral